Long non-coding RNA from Glycine soja, 1492 nucleotides. RefSeq lists it as uncharacterized. The transcript is spliced from 4 exons. The record is from RefSeq and is a predicted model, not a curated record. Lineage: Eukaryota; Viridiplantae; Streptophyta; Magnoliopsida; Fabales; Fabaceae.
CCCAAGUCGCAUUCUACUGCCACCGUUUCCUUUACCCCGGGCUCAUCUCUACCAGAUAUGCUUAUCUUUUAUUAUUCUCUUCCUCCUCCUCAGUUAUCCGUACGUUUUGUUCAAUUUUUGUUUUUUCCUAUGUGCUCUUCUGAUUGGCUCCGAUUCUAUUUGCUCAACAGUCAGCGUGUUGUUUCAGUUUUUUACUUGACUCUAAUGCUAAUCAACUUGUGCUUAUAACCUUACUAAUAUAUAAUAAGAACCAGACUCAUAUCCCACACAAACAUAGGUUUAAAUCUCGCAGUCGAUGUAUGUGAGGAUUUUUUUUAUGAGCCUUCUUAAUAAAUUCUUGAAACUCAACUCACUUCAACUUUUAAUCUACAAUAAAAUGUGGUGCAGAGUCCUUGUUUGAACUUGUUCAUAAAUAUAAAAAAAUGCAGGAUUUCACGUAAUAAAUGAAUUGUUUUGUGUCCUAUAUUCUACGUGUGAAGAGAGAGAUAUUCAAAAGGUUGUGUAUUAAAAUGAGUUCUCUUGAACUCUUCCUUCCCUCCUACGUUGCUCACUUAACUGCUUGUAUUGUGUUGUGACAAUGGAAUCAGCAUUGAUAUUUCUGCGAACGGGAAGUUCGGGUUCGGUUCCUUGCAGAUUCUUUUGACUCAUGAACAUGCUGAUGCGGUCCUUGGAUUGGAUGAUAUGCUUGUUGUGCAGCCGUUUAGUCCCACUAAUGAUAUUGAUCCCACCCCCGUUUACUUAACUCUGCAUUCAAUGGACAGUGUCCCAAGGUAACAGAGUCAUGCUCAAAUGCAGAGUGAGCAGGUCAAAUAUCCAAGUGGGAGCAUAGUCAAUUGACGCAAAAUACAUCUCAUUGAUUCUAUUAAGCAAAAUAUGGUAUCACUUUUUGGUCAGUAAGUUAAAAGCAUCCAAAAGAGGUUUCCUUAUUUGGUUCAGAAAAAACAAAAAGAAGAAGCACAAGAAAUACGAAGGGUAGCUCAGUUUUGCUGAUGAUGAUUGUAAUCAGCCAUUUUUUGCAUCAGGCUCAAAAAUUGAUUCCUUUGCCCGUUAUUCACUGCAAAACUUGUCAUUGGUGGUAGGAAUGCAAUAACCCUUUUACCUUAUGAGGACUUAAGUGAUACAUUUAUGGAUGUAGGUAAUGCAUGGAGAGGAUUAUAUCUGUUUGGGAUUUCUUUUUGGUGAGAAAAAUAGGGUGGCUUAUAUAUCUGAUGUUUCAUUGAUUCCAGAUAGUACAGAGUAUAGUGCGUUUUAAAGUCAUUUCUUCCUACUCGGACAUGUGUGUUACUUCAUUAGUGUUAUUAUCUCUCACAACAUAAACUUUAUUGGGUUGGAUUGUGAAGAAAGAAUAUAGAUGAGAAAAUGGUUUUUUUGUGUUUUUAACUUAACAUAAAAUAAAAAAAUAAAAAAAAACUGGAGGGAGGGGGAGAUGGUGUUAUGAAAUUAUAAUUACACCCAGAAAUGUACAUUAUUGUCAUGUGUUUUUGUAAACAAA